AUUGAACGCUGGCGGCAGGCCUAACACAUGCAAGUCGAACGGUAACAGGAAGAAGCUUGCUUCUUUGCUGACGAGUGGCGGACGGGUGAGUAAUGUCUGGGAAACUGCCUGAUGGAGGGGGAUAACUACUGGAAACGGUAGCUAAUACCGCAUAACGUCGCAAGACCAAAGAGGGGGACCUUCGGGCCUCUUGCCAUCGGAUGUGCCCCGAUGGGAUUAGCUAGUAGGUGGGGUAACGGCUCACCUAGGCGACGAUCCCUAGCUGGUCUGAGAGGAUGACCAGCCACACUGGAACUGAGACACGGUCCAGACUCCUACGGGAGGCAGCAGUGGGGAAUAUUGCACAAUGGGCGCAAGCCUGAUGCAGCCAUGCCGCGUGUAUGAAGAAGGCCUUCGGGUUGUAAAGUACUUUCAGCGGGGAGGAAGGGAGUAAAGUUAAUACCUGUGCUCAUUGACGUUACCCGCAGAAGAAGCACCGGCUAACUCCGUG
This 490-nucleotide ribosomal RNA is filed under the name uncultured bacterium. Its description in RNAcentral is "partial 16S ribosomal RNA". It matches the Rfam family "Bacterial small subunit ribosomal RNA", at positions 30 to 507 of the family's 1533-position model. The record is from RNAcentral.